This is a long non-coding RNA of Orbicella faveolata, 884 nucleotides long. Lineage: Eukaryota; Metazoa; Cnidaria; Anthozoa; Scleractinia; Merulinidae. The record is from RefSeq and is a predicted model, not a curated record.
UCAAAAUGAACCGAUUUUUAUUGCCCGUUUUGGCAUACAGCGGCUGCUAGUUUCACCUCAUUGCAGUUUGUCUUGGACCGCGCAUUAAAGGAGAUAAAAUAUGGGAGCCUGGCCGUUUGUUUUUCUGGGGAUUUCUAUAGCGGUGGUGAGUAUAACAGGAGCACCGCUAGGAGAAGAAAACACAAAGCCUUGUUUAUCGUGGGAUUGUGCUCGAAAACGAGCACUUGAAUUAUCCAAUCUCGUCAAAGACGACGACGAGAACCCAUGCAUUUCCUGGGAAUGCAAACGAGACCUGAUACUACGCAAAAAGUUCCUGAACGCUAUCAGAGCCGCCGAGUCCGCGAACAAGAAGUCCAGCGUAACUGAAGAAGAGGAAUGCCUCUCGUGGGAUUGCAGACGAAAACGACGGGCAGCAGUUGAAAUGCCGACAAACAUUACACCAGAACCUCCCGCCGGUGACACGCCUUGCCUCACAAGUGACUGCCGAACCGGAAAACGAAGCAUUGAAGAUCCCUCUCUCAUGAAAAGGCUCCGUCUCACUCGUGCGAACGCUGACCCACAAAAUGAUCCAGCUUGCUUAGCUUGGCACUGCAUGACUGGAUAAGCAGAUAGCCAAACAGUAUUUAGAGAUGAAGACAACUGACUUGGCCGACUAAACUUUACUUCAAAUGAUCCUAUAGAAUUUUUGCUCGCGGACUAUUCGUCUCCACAAAAUAAAUUAUCACAUAAGCAAGACUAGAAAUUUGCUCCAAAAAUAAAAGCAAAAUGUAAAUUGUUCUUUGUAAAUUUAAUCUUAACUUAGCUUUAAGGUUGAAAGUGUUGAAAAUACUUUAGUUGCACUUAUAAAUAUCUAUAAAUACAUUUUGACUCUAAUGAAAAACUGC